Molecule: long non-coding RNA, 296 nt
Filed under: Physcomitrium patens
Lineage: Eukaryota; Viridiplantae; Streptophyta; Bryopsida; Funariales; Funariaceae
Description: long non-coding RNA (PPAT_LNC014030)
Source: RNAcentral
GUAUAUUUGAAAUCGCCCAUUUUUUUUUUUUAAUAGCCUUCACUUUCUUCUUUGCUACUAGAAUUUUAAUGAUAGUUCCAUCUAACUCACAUAAGGUAUAUGUAGCAUUAUCAUAAACUGUAACCACCAUAUAUAGUCCAAACUAUUUUUUUACAAACUUCUUUAUAAUACUAUGCUGAUGUUCAAGGCUACUAUCAUAAAUUAGAACCCAAUCUCCAAUCUCUAUAAAUUUAGGCCUUAACCUAUAAGUCUUGUCAAACCUUUCUUUAUUUUUUAAUCUUGCUUCCUUUAACCUC